UCAGACGAUGCGUCAUGCAUAUCAAUAAGCGGAGGAAAAGAAACUAACAAGGAUUCCCUCAGUAACGGCGAGUGAAGCGGGAAGAGCUCAAAUUUGAAAUCUUGAAAGGUCACCUUUCACGAAUUGUAGUUUAAAGAAGUGUUUUCUGUUACGAUCGUAAUAUAAGUUCUUUGGAAUAGGACAUCACAGAGGGUGAGAAUCCCGUCUAUGAUUGCGAUUUGUAGCUUUGUGAUACACUUUCAAAGAGUCGGGUUGUUUGGGAAUGCAGCCCAAAACGGGAGGUAAAUUUCUUCUAAGGCUAAAUAUUGGCGAGAGACCGAUAGCGAACAAGUACCGUGAGGGAAAGAUGAAAAGAACUUUGAAAAGAGAGUUAAACAGUACGUGAAAUUGUCAAAAGGGAAGCGUUUAACACCAGUGUUGUUUUCUCGAAAAUCAAUUAAAAAGAGUUAGAUUUUGUUGUGUAUUGACCUUAACAGCUUGCAUUUCAAUUUUCUUGCUUUUUUUAAUGCACUUUUCGUUUAACAAGUCGACAUCAGUUUCUUUUGUUGUAAAAAGGUCAUUGGAAGGUGGCUUUCUUUUCGGAGAAAGUGUUUAUAGCCUUUGACUCCUGCAAUCGGAGAGACUGAGGUCUGCAGCGUAGAUCCUUCGGGGUUAGAUACAUUUGUGCUAAGUUAUAGCUUUUUAUAGACAACUUGUUGACUAUGAUUAGUCUUGUAGCUUACUCGCUUAUGCUAUUUUACCUACGCUUAGGAUGUUGAUCUGUAGUGCGUGCGC
This 774-nucleotide ribosomal RNA is filed under the name uncultured Neocallimastigales. RNAcentral's name for it is "partial large subunit ribosomal RNA". It matches the Rfam family "Eukaryotic large subunit ribosomal RNA", at positions 18 to 635 of the family's 3401-position model. Lineage: Eukaryota; Fungi; Neocallimastigomycota; Neocallimastigomycetes; Neocallimastigales. The record is from RNAcentral.